CCUCACUUUUGGUAUACAGGCCUCGUAUCUUGAGGUUGAGUUGUAUGGUGGGAUCCAGUUCCUGUUGACGAGCAUCGGCGAGAGAGGCGCCACGACCUGGUGGUCGCCCUGGUACACUGUCCUGCAACAACUGGUCUCGCACUGAAGGGUUCGGGUGACCACAGCCAGACAGCGGGGAGAGCGAGGACUGCCCCGGGUCCUGAAGAACAUCUAUAACGACGGUAUAAAGUGGCACCACAUGGACUCGUCUGACAUCAGCCUUUUGGAUUUUUUCUUUGCCAGAAAAUGGCCUACUUUACUCUAUGGUAAAGUUGUAAAAAUAAAAUAUAAAUUCAAAUUAGCUUGUUAUACUUUACAGCCACCUCGCGAGGUGGUGUACAAUGAAUGACUUUUGUCCUGUUUGGCAGUGUAUUACUUGGUAUCUUGAAGAAACA
This is a long non-coding RNA of Procambarus clarkii (red swamp crayfish), 434 nucleotides long. RefSeq lists it as uncharacterized. Lineage: Eukaryota; Metazoa; Arthropoda; Malacostraca; Decapoda; Cambaridae. The record is from RefSeq and is a predicted model, not a curated record.